Molecule: ribosomal RNA, 467 nt
Filed under: uncultured bacterium
Lineage: Bacteria
Description: partial 16S ribosomal RNA
Rfam family: Bacterial small subunit ribosomal RNA
Source: RNAcentral
ACGCACGCUGGCGGCGUGCUUCACCCAUGCCAGUCGCACGGAAAGGCCCUGCUUUUGUGGGGUGCUCGAGUGGCGAACGGGUGAGUAACACGUGAGUAACCUGCCCUUGACUUUGGGAUAACUUCAGGAAACUGGGGCUAAUACCGGAUAGGAGCUCCUGCUGCAUGGUGGGGGUUGGAAAGUUUCGGCGGUUGGGGACGGACUCGCGGCUUAUCAGCUUGUUGGUGGGGUAGUGGCUUACCAAGGCUUUGACGGGUAGCCGGCCUGAGAGGGUGACCGGCCACAUUGGGACUGAGAUACGGCCCAGACUCCUACGGGAGGCAGCAGUGGGGAAUAUUGCACAAUGGGCGGAAGCCUGAUGCAGCAACGCCGCGUGCGGGAUGACGGCCUUCGGGUUGUAAACCGCUUUCGCCUGUGACGAAGCGUGAGUGACGGUAAUGGGUAAAGAAGCACCGGCUAACUACGUG